CAGUAGCCGCGGGAAUACGGAGGGAGCUAGCGUUGUUCGGAAUUACUGGGCGUAAAGCGCACGUAGGCGGUUAUUCAAAUCAGAGGUGAAAGCCCGGGGCUCAACCCCGGAACUGCCUUUGAAACUAGAUGACUGGAAUCUUGGAGAGGUCAGUGGAAUUCCGAGUGUAGAGGUGAAAUUCGUAGAUAUUCGGAAGAACACCAGUGGCGAAGGCGACUGACUGGACAAGUAUUGACGCUGAGGUGCGAAAGCGUGGGGAGCAAACAGGAUUAGAUACCCCAGUAGUCCCUGUCUCUUAUAC
This 301-nucleotide ribosomal RNA is filed under the name uncultured bacterium. RNAcentral describes it as "partial 16S ribosomal RNA". It matches the Rfam family "Bacterial small subunit ribosomal RNA", at positions 509 to 807 of the family's 1533-position model. The record is from RNAcentral.